CGACUCCCAAAUUCACCAAAAUGAACUGUUUUCUCAAUCAAAUUUGCUUUAUCGGUUGCCCGAAAAUUUGGGUAAUUCUGCAGCCUCUUUCCGUGUAAAAGAUCUGUCGGUGACUGCGCUUAUUUUCGUAAAAGGCUGAAUUUCAAUACAACGAAAUUUCGAUAUAACGAAGCAAAUUGUCGAUUCUAUCAUUUGUUAUAUUGAGGUUUAACUGUACUUCUGUAUAACUUUAUCAGAAAUAACUUGACAGUUCAAUUUGGUACCCUUUUAUGAGAAAUGGCCGAAAGUAAAAUAUGGCCUUCCCCCAAAGUUUCAGUUGGCAAAUAAAUUCGAAGUUUCAGAUAUAUACAUAGAUGCAUGCAUGCUAUGUACCUGCAUUUGACUCUUAAAGAGACCUAAACACGUGCAUCUGCCACAUCAUUAAAGCUUGCAGCCUUGUUACAGACAAGAAAAGGUUACACAAUUUCAGGCCUUAUUUUAGGUACACACAUUAUCAUGCAAAGAGGCUACAACAGACUAAUGCACAGAAAAAUAUGUUUCCUGCAACCACAUGUGUGACAGGUUUUUUGAAGCUGCCUGUACUGAGGCCAACUAAGCUCUUGCAAAAUAUGGCCAAAGACACUAGAAGGUUGCACUGAAUGCUCUUGCACUGUUGCCUGUGCAAAUCAAUGCUUCAGCUUCAUUUCAUUGUAAAUUUGACAGCAAAGGUAUCGCCUACAAUAGCAAAGGCAAGAAAAGCUCUGUAUUUAAACAAAGAGGUAUGCUGGCAUAGGAGUAUUGACGUGAAAGCUACUCCGCAAUAAGUAUGAUAAUCCACCAUAACAGGAAUCAUUCUGCAAUGUAAGUACAUUCAUAAAGACGCAUAAGUAUUUACUAUUAAACAACUUUUUGCUCUUCUACUACUUAGGCCGAUUGUUCAGACAGUGUGGCAACUUUGGCGUUGCACUACUAAACUCGAGGUUGCGAGUUUGAUCCCAGCCAUGGCAACCACACUUCGAUGGAGGCAAAAUGCAAAAAUGUUAAUGUAUUUAAACAAGCAUUUAGAUGCACGUUAGAAAACCUCAGGUCGUUAAAAUUAAUCUGGAGUCCCCAUUAUGACACGUCUUAUAAUCAUAUCAUGGUUUUGACACAAAAUCCCAAUACUUGAUUUUAAAAUAAGGGAACUAUAGCAACGCAGUCCACCAAGCAAAGUUAGGCACACAGUCAAGCACAAAUGUUUUCCAAUGAAGUUAUUUAAAGUCAUCCCAUUACAAGCUACAGCCUUUCUCACUCUGGCAGGUUCUCUUUUGAAGAAUGCUCAAGACCUCUUGUACAUAAGGAACUGCUCAGCUAGGUCAUAGGCACUUUGUGGUGGUGACCUCCACAUGAUUAAUGGCAUUCGGAGCCCGCGAAGAUGCGAAAGAAACACGCCCAUUCGUGUGUAAAGCAUUACUGGUGAAUCGCCACCAACUUCUUUGAACCGGCAAGCCUCUUCAGAGAGCACGUCAGCGCUGUGCCCUACGCCAUGACUUCAUUGGGGUGCCCAAAUGCUGUGCUUCCUGCAGAGACUGCCUCCAGGCAACUCAACAACUGCAGCACCUGGUUCAUAUCCAGCAGAAGCUCCGUUGAGUCUGACAGCGUGUGAAUCGCAUCCCGGAGAAGACGAGGCCACAUACUGCACACAAGCCAUAAAUGCAGAGAGUGCACAAAUACAGAACUGGUUGAUUUAUUGGCUGAUUGAUUGAUUGUGUUUAAUGUUCCAAAGCAAUAAAAUAGAGAACUGGG
This is a long non-coding RNA of Dermacentor albipictus, 1764 nucleotides long. RefSeq lists it as uncharacterized. The record is from RefSeq and is a predicted model, not a curated record. Lineage: Eukaryota; Metazoa; Arthropoda; Arachnida; Ixodida; Ixodidae.